UGGGUUGUGGCUCAGUGGUAGAGCACUUGCCUAGCAUGUGUGAGGCACUGGGUUCAAUUCUCAGCACCACAU
Molecule: transfer RNA, 72 nt
Filed under: Marmota marmota marmota (Alpine marmot)
Lineage: Eukaryota; Metazoa; Chordata; Mammalia; Rodentia; Sciuridae
Also listed under: 5 other names
Rfam family: tRNA
About the family: Transfer RNA (tRNA) molecules are approximately 80 nucleotides in length. Their secondary structure includes four short double-helical elements and three loops (D, anti-codon, and T loops). Further hydrogen bonds mediate the characteristic L-shaped molecular structure. tRNAs have two regions of fundamental functional importance: the anti-codon, which is responsible for specific mRNA codon recognition, and the 3' end, to which the tRNAs corresponding amino acid is attached (by aminoacyl-tRNA synthetases). tRNAs cope with the degeneracy of the genetic code in two manners: having more than one tRNA (with a specific anti-codon) for a particular amino acid; and 'wobble' base-pairing, i.e. permitting non-standard base-pairing at the 3rd anti-codon position.
Source: Rfam by way of RNAcentral